Long non-coding RNA from Anthonomus grandis grandis, 476 nucleotides. RefSeq lists it as uncharacterized. NCBI's taxonomy places the organism in Eukaryota, Metazoa, Arthropoda, Insecta, Coleoptera, Curculionidae. The record is from RefSeq and is a predicted model, not a curated record. The transcript has 3 exons.
AAAUUCUCAAACAAAUUUAAAUGUCUAUAUGUGUAUCCAAAAUCCAGACAAAAAUAGAACGAGUCCAUGUUAAAAAUCACUGGACCCUGGAUACGCCAUAGCGUAUUGAACCGUAUUGGCGAGUGGUUGAACGCACAAUUUAGUGAUAAAACAGUGGUUUAUAUAGAAAAUUCACAGAAUGCCUGGAAGCGAAGGAACCAACUUGAUAACUACCUAUCUUAUCCUUAUAGCCCUUUUGCUAGUUUUAUGGGCCCUAUAUUCGGGAAUGUAUUAAAGUAAUGUUCUAAAAACCUCGAAACAUCACCAACCAUCCAUCCAUCAUCAUCGAUUAGCAUAUAGACAUGAAAGCAAGGUGGCGGCCACUAUAAUAUAACCGAAUCAUGGAUCCAAUUUAUAUUUUUAUAAGUGGUUAAGACAUUUAUUAGUUAUUUAGGUUUAAUUUUAAAGUUAUAAUACAUUUACAAUGUUUCGUUAAA